ACGCUAGCGGCAGCUUAACACAUGCAAGUCGAACGGUAACUCUUAGUGCUUGCACUAAAAGACGAGUGGCGGACGGGUGCGUAACGCGUAUGCAAUCUACCUUAUACUAGGGUAUAGCCCAGAGAAAUUUGGAUUAAUCCCCUAUAAUAUCAUGAAAUCGCAUGGUUUUAUGAUUAAAGCUUCGGCGGUAUAAGAUGAGCAUGCGUCCUAUUAGUUUGUAGGUGAGGUAACGGCUCACCUAGGCUACGAUAGGUAGGGGCCCUGAGAGGGGGAUCCCCCACACUGGUACUGAGACACGGACCAGACUCCUACGGGAGGCAGCAGUGAGGAAUAUUGGACAAUGGACGAAAGUCUGAUCCAGCUAUGCCGCGUGCAGGAUGACAGCCCUACGGGUUGUAAACUGCUUUUAUACAGGAAGAAAUACCCCGACGUGUCGGGGCUUGACGGUACUGUAAGAAUAAGGAUCGGCUAACUCCGUGCCAGCAGCCGCGGUAAUACGGAGGAUCCAAGCGUUAUCCGGAAUCAUUGGGUUUAAAGGGUCCGCAGGCGGUUUUUUAAGUCAGAGGUGAAAUCCUACAGCUCAACUGUAGAAUUGCCUUUGAAACUGAAAGACUUGAGUUAUUGUGAAGUGGUUAGAAUGUGUGGUGUAGCGGUGAAAUGCAUAGAUAUCACACAGAAUACCAAUUGCGAAGGCAGAUCACUAACAAUUAACUGACGCUCAGGGACGAAAGCGUGGGUAGCGAACAGGAUUAGAUACCCUGGUAGUCCACGCCGUAAACGAUGGAUACUAGCUGUAUGUCUACCUCAGGUAGAUGUGUGGCCAAGCGAAAGUGAUAAGUAUCCCACCUGGGGAGUACGAU
Molecule: ribosomal RNA, 860 nt
Filed under: uncultured Flavobacteriaceae bacterium
Lineage: Bacteria; Pseudomonadati; Bacteroidota; Flavobacteriia; Flavobacteriales; Flavobacteriaceae
Description: bacterial SSU rRNA
Rfam family: Bacterial small subunit ribosomal RNA
Source: RNAcentral